Nycticebus coucang (slow loris) is the source of this 112-nucleotide small nuclear RNA. NCBI's taxonomy places the organism in Eukaryota, Metazoa, Chordata, Mammalia, Primates, Lorisidae. The record is from RefSeq and is a predicted model, not a curated record.
AUGCUCGCUUCAGCAGCACAUAUACUAAAAUUGGAACGAUACAGAGAAGAUUAGCAUGGCCCCUGCGCAAGGAUGAUGCAAAGAAUCUAUGACACCACAGGGACAAAUUUCU